RNAcentral lists this ribosomal RNA (403 nucleotides) under uncultured bacterium. Its description in RNAcentral is "bacterial SSU rRNA". It matches the Rfam family "Bacterial small subunit ribosomal RNA", at positions 355 to 775 of the family's 1533-position model. The record is from RNAcentral.
UAGGGAAUAUUAGAAAUGGACGAAAGUCUGAUCUAGCAACACCGCGUGUGCGAAGAAGGCCUUCGGGUUGUAAAGCACUUUUUGGAAGGAUUAGGAAGGAAUGUACUUCCAGAAUAAGUCUCGGCUAACUACGUGCCUGCAGCCGCGGUAACACGUAGGAGGCAAACGUUAUCCGGAUUUACUGGGCGUAAAGCGCGUGUAGGUGGUUCUGUAAGUAGGGCGUGAAAGCUCCUGGCUCGACUGGGAGAGGCCGUUCUAAACUGCAGAGCUAGAGGAUGGUAGAGGGAGGUGGAAUUCCGGGUGUAGCGGUGGAAUGCGCAGAUAUCCGGAGGAACACCAGUGGCGAAAGCGGCCUCCUGGACCAUUCCUGGCACUCAGACGCGAAAGCUAGGGUAGCAAACGG